Molecule: long non-coding RNA, 149 nt
Organism: Hibiscus syriacus
Lineage: Eukaryota; Viridiplantae; Streptophyta; Magnoliopsida; Malvales; Malvaceae
Exons: 3
Source: RefSeq, a predicted model, not a curated record
CGUUGAAGCCUACGGAAUGGGUUGGCGGUGUGGUUAUUGAUUUGCUCGCCUGAACAGUAUGCUACGAUUAUCAAAAAUCACUCCGGAGGAUUGACUACUUUCCAUACCUCUUAGCACAACAGGCGUUGGAUGCCAACAACAAAGAAAGU